GAUUGUGGCUCAGCGGUAGAGCACUCACCUAGCAUGUGUGAGGCCCUGGGUUCAAUCCUCAGCACCA
RNAcentral lists this transfer RNA (67 nucleotides) under Marmota monax (woodchuck). RNAcentral's name for it is "tRNA.Ala". It matches the Rfam family "tRNA", at positions 6 to 65 of the family's 71-position model. From Rfam's summary of the family: Transfer RNA (tRNA) molecules are approximately 80 nucleotides in length. Their secondary structure includes four short double-helical elements and three loops (D, anti-codon, and T loops). Lineage: Eukaryota; Metazoa; Chordata; Mammalia; Rodentia; Sciuridae. The record is from RNAcentral.